RNAcentral lists this ribosomal RNA (685 nucleotides) under Triatoma carcavalloi. RNAcentral describes it as "SSU rRNA". It matches the Rfam family "Eukaryotic small subunit ribosomal RNA", at positions 551 to 1150 of the family's 1831-position model. The record is from RNAcentral. Lineage: Eukaryota; Metazoa; Arthropoda; Insecta; Hemiptera; Reduviidae.
GAGGGCAAGUCUGGUGCCAGCAGCCGCGGUAAUUCCAGCUCCAAUAGCGUAUAUUAAAGUUGUUGCGGUUAAAAAGCUCGUAGUUGGUUCUGCGUGCCGCGCUGUCGGUUCGCCGCCUGUCGGUGUAACUGGCAUGUCGCGGCAUGUCCUGUCGGUGGUGAACGGAGUCCACGACGCUACAUGGGCUUUAUAGUCGAUGUUAGCAUCGUGUGUACUUCCGUUGGCCGAUCUCUCCUACUUCGGUGCUCUUAAACGAGUGUCGAGGUAGGCCGACACGUUCACUUUGAACAAAUUAGAGUGCUUAAAGCAGGCUGAAAUAUCUGCCUGAAUAGUGGUGCAUGGAAUGAUAAAACAGGACCUCGGUUCUAUUUUGUUGGUUUUAGGAAUAUGAGGUAAUGAUCAAUGUGGACUGGCGGGGGCAUUCGUAUUGCGACGUUAGAGGUGAAAUUCUUGGAUCGUCGCAAGACGCACUAGAGCGAAAGCAUUUGCCAAGUAUGUCUUAAUUGAUCAAGAACGAAAGUUAGAGGUUCGAAGGCGAUCAGAUACCGCCCUAGUUCUAACCAUAAACGAUGCCAGCCAGCGAUCCGCCGAUGUUCCUUUAAUGACUCGGCGGGGAGCUUCCACCCGGGAAACCAAAGCUUUUGGGUUCCGGGGGAAGUAUGGUUGCAAAGCUGAAACUUAAAGG